This 2500-nucleotide long non-coding RNA is filed under the name Homo sapiens (human). Its description in RNAcentral is "HSALNT0313129". The record is from RNAcentral. Lineage: Eukaryota; Metazoa; Chordata; Mammalia; Primates; Hominidae.
CUCUCUCUGCCAUGUGAGGACAAAGGAGAAGCUGGCAGUCUGCAGCCCAGAAAAGGGUUCUUACUGGAAAUGACCAUGCUGGCACCUUGAUCUCAUACUUCUAGUCUCCAAAACUGUGAGAAGUAAAAUUUUCUUACUUAUAAGCCACCCAGUGUAUGAUACUUUGUAAUGGCAAGCUGAACUGACUAAGGUACUAUAGCCAAAGUGAAUGUGAUUUUUGACGCUUGUGUUCUUGAUCUGUUGGCUGCGGCAGGAGUGUGGACAGAGGCUCAUCUUUAAUGCCUCUGAAGCAGGCUUGGCUUCUCUCUUCCAUGUUGUCCCAUGGCACUUUGUACAUAGAGUGAUGUCACUCAUAUGUACACACUCAUUUUUCUCAGAACGCAGAAAUAUAUGGAGGUCUGAGGUUGAAUCUCAUAUGACUUCCUAAAGAAGGUCUGUCCUUUAUAGUUGCUUUACUCAUUACUGCUAAGGAACUUUUUACAUUUCUUGAUAUCCCCUGUCAUUUUUGUUUUGUUUUGGCGUUGGGGGAAAGCAGAUGUAGGAUUGAACAGGGAAGGCGGAAGCAAGAAGAUGAGGAUGGCCACUCUCAUUUGCUUCAGUUGACUGUUUUCAAUUCCUAUUGUUAGAGAAGUGAGUGUGAAAGAACUGGCUAUUCAAGAGAGUGUUGGAGAUUCUGGCAAGCAGAGAUUCUUCGGAGCCCAGGUGGAAAGUGAAGCGCUGAGUUGGGGAGAAAUGCUCAUGCCUUCUGCAGACUGAAGCCAGAAUGGACUGAAUGUCACAGCCUUUAUAACCCACACUGUGGCCGCAAGAAGAGAUUCAAAGAAAAGAAGAUCCUCCCUGCCAUUCCUCAGUGGCUGAAGUGCGUGGCCAGUCAUCAUUCGCUGAGCCCUUACUAGUAAGAUACUGAGAAUCCGACAGGUUAAAUUACUUCAAAAUCAAACAAAAAAAAUCGUAGAACUGGGAUUUAACCCUCAAAGCGUCAAUUCUGAAGUUAAAGCUUUACCCCAGGGCCUUAAGACACAGGAACUAGCAUCAGAAAUGUCUCAAAAACAUGAUGCUAUUUGGUUUCUACGUGCUUUAACUCAGCCCACAUCAGCAGCCUCUGUUCUGGAGCAGAAAUGGAAGGAAAAUUCCUGGGACUUUAGUGCUUCCUGCAGCCAGCCUCAGGCCCUUUUCUUCUACAGAUUCUGGGAUGCAAAAAUCCUACUUCUGCUCUAAAAGGAGAAAAUGUGAUUUGCAAGGAGAAUGUACCUCUUCUUCUUCCUUGAGAGCCAUUGCCCCUUUUAUCAAUGUGACACAGCCCUUCGGAAACAGGCUCCUUGUUCUUGGAGCUUGGCAGGGAAAAAAAACCAAGAAUUCAUUUGAAGGUGAGCUAAUUAUUGUAUCCUGUAAGGAUGGCUACACUACAGUGCUGACUGUGGCAUUUGCUGCUUAUUAAGUAUGACAGUUUAUAAAUGACACUAAUUGGAAUGAAGUAACUUAUAAAGCAUGUCUCAAAACAGAAGGAUUUUAUCCCAGAUAGAUAAGAUAGUUAAUUCCCCUUCCUCUUAUUACUUUCCCCUGUGUCUAUGAACACACUGACUAACUUUUCCCUAUGGCUUGGCACAAUACAUGAGUAGAGGAGGCGAUGUGGAAGGAUAAAAACAUUACUCAGGCACAUGCUACGAAACUUUCUAACAGUUGGCAAGACUCAGUCUGACCUUCAUGUUGAAUUUUGCUGUAGUUUUAAUCACUUUACCAUCACUUGCAGGAGAGAAAGCAUCGUUAAAAAUGCCCUAUUUAGGGAAAACUUCAGAGCCAAGACUAGAUGUAUGUUCUCAUUAUUUCACAUGUUGUCAGAGUAACCAGUACAGUGAAAAGACAGCCUUUUGAAGAAAACAAGUUUGUGGAAAGUGCUUAAUUAAGACUAUGGAAAUGAUGUUAGAGAAAAAGCAAAUUUGGGCAAUUUUCUUAUUCGAGUUCAAAAUGUGUCAUAAAGCAGUGGAGACAACUCCCAACAUCAACAAUGCAUUUGGCCCAGGAACUGCUACUGACCAUACAAUACAAUGGUGGUUCAAGAAGUUUUGCAAAGGAGAGGAGAGCCUUGAAGAUGAGGAGCAUAGCGUGGCAUUUGAAACAAAUUGCUUAAAACAAGAUUUCAUCAGGUAGAAAUUUAAAAAAAAAUCGUCAUUUUGAAGCAUUGUCACCUCUUAUUCAACACAACAACAAACUAUUUCUUGAUCCCAUUGUAAUGGGCAAUGAAAAGUGGAUUUUAUACGACAAUCAAUGAUGACCAGCUCAGUGGUUUGACUGAGAAGAGGCUCCAAAGCACUUUCCAAAUCCAAACUCGCACCAAAAAAAGGUCAUGGUCACUGUUUGGUGGUCUGCUGCUGGUCUGAUCCACUACAGAUUUCUGAGAAGUAUGCUCAGCAAAUCGAUGAGAUGCACUGAAAACUGCAAUGCCUGCAGCCAGCAUUGGUCAACAGAAAGCCCAAUUCUCCAUGACAACACCCAACUGCAC